Oncorhynchus gorbuscha (pink salmon) is the source of this 237-nucleotide long non-coding RNA. RefSeq lists it as uncharacterized. The transcript is spliced from 3 exons. Lineage: Eukaryota; Metazoa; Chordata; Actinopteri; Salmoniformes; Salmonidae. The record is from RefSeq and is a predicted model, not a curated record.
UUCACCUUUGCAUUUCAUUCGUCUGGUUCGUACAGUGCCUUCACAAGACUAUUCAAGCGAUUGGCUCACUGAUGGAUGAAGAUGAUGAGUGAUCGGCAAAGGCCUUCUGGAGUCCCAAGUAUUCCCUCAAACUCUGUGUCUCUAUGUGUUUGUUUUUGAUGACAUUGACCCAAAACACAUUGCCACCCGGGUUUGCAUUGCAAAUGAGGGCAUAAACUGGGUCAAGACGCCAGCAGA